GACAGAGGGUGCAAACGUUGUUCGGAAUUACUGGGCGUAAAGCGCGUGUAGGCUGCUCAGAAAGUCGGAUGUGAAAAUCCAGGGCUCAACCCUGGACCUGCAUUCGAUACGGGCAGACUAGAGUUCGGUAGGGGAGACUGGAAUUCCUGGUGUAGCGGUGAAAUGCGCAGAUAUCAGGAGGAACACCGGUGGCGAAGGCGGGUCUCUGGGCCGAAACUGACGCUGAGGAGCGAAAGCGUGGGGAGCAAACAGG
Molecule: ribosomal RNA, 253 nt
Filed under: uncultured bacterium
Lineage: Bacteria
Description: partial 16S ribosomal RNA
Rfam family: Bacterial small subunit ribosomal RNA
Source: RNAcentral